CGACUCAUCAAGUCAUGACUGAAUCAUGCUAGCUAGCGAGUUUCUGUGAAACCUGGCUUGGAAUCUCAUUGAACUGAGUCGACUCAACCCACCAAGUUUUAGUGGACUGCAUCUCUCCAUGAGUAUGAAAAUAUUUUCAUACAAAUGGAUACUCCAAGGUCUGUUGAUUUUUAUGGAUUUUCUCUUUGUUUCAUGUACAAUUCCUACAGUUUGGAAGAUUAAUUUGCUUUUUUUAAAUGUAAUUUUCGCGACUUCUCUUCUUACGAUUUUCAUUUGCAAUUCCUACGAUUUUUAUAAUGGAGAUCUUUUUCUUUUCUCAAGUUUGAUACUAGAUUUGUACGUCUCCAUCUUCAAGCAAAUUGAUGGGUUUGAAAUCAUGUGUUUAUUUGUCUGAUGGCCUCUACAGCCUGGUAUUAAUAUGUGAAUCUUGUUUUUUAAUAUUCUAAUGCACCAACUAAACUCAUCUACGGUAAGGCCUUUCUUUCUAUUUGUUCUUAGCAGGAUGGCGCCUGAGGUUAUGGAACAAUUUCACGAUUAUGAUUUCAAGUCAGCUGGCUACUUUCUAGUUCUGUUUCUUUGUCGUCAACAUAUAGCUUGAUUUCAGAUAUUGAUUUUUCUUGGACAAUGGUCUUGCAAGGCAGAUAUCUGAUCUUUUGGGAUUACUACCUUAGAGCUUGCCCAUUGGCAUGCCCCUUUCUCAAAGUAUCCUCCAAUGAAGGUUCUGCUUAACUAUGAAAGGGACAGGAAGUUCUCGAAGUCUUUCAAGCAAAUGAUUGCUAUGUGCUUGGUAAAAGACCCAUCAAAGCGACCAUCUGUGCAAAAGCUGUUAAAGCAUUCCUUUUUUAAGCAAGCUAGGUGCAAUGAUUACAUUGCUCGAAAAAUUUUAGAGGGGCUGCCUACUCUUGGUGAUUGCCUUAAAGCAUUGAAGAUCAAGGAAGAAGACAUGCUUGCAUAGAAGAAAAUGCCAGAUGGGAAGAAGGAAGAGAUAUCCCAGGUCUUGAAGCUAUACUGGCAAAUGGCACUGUGCUUGAUAUGCUUGGCAGUUUACGCAAAAGACAAUACAGGAUAUGAUUUGAAACAUCUUUU
Magnolia sinica is the source of this 1086-nucleotide long non-coding RNA. RefSeq lists it as uncharacterized. NCBI's taxonomy places the organism in Eukaryota, Viridiplantae, Streptophyta, Magnoliopsida, Magnoliales, Magnoliaceae. The record is from RefSeq and is a predicted model, not a curated record. The transcript has 5 exons.